This 153-nucleotide small nuclear RNA is filed under the name Crocodylus porosus (Australian saltwater crocodile). Its description in RNAcentral is "U1 spliceosomal RNA (ENSCPRG00005002974.1)". It matches the Rfam family "U1 spliceosomal RNA". From Rfam's summary of the family: U1 is a small nuclear RNA (snRNA) component of the spliceosome (involved in pre-mRNA splicing). Lineage: Eukaryota; Metazoa; Chordata; Crocodylia; Crocodylidae. The record is from RNAcentral.
ACACUGUCCAUGUCAGGGGGGGAUACCAUGAUAAGCAGGUCUUCCUAGGGCCAGGCCUGCCUAUAGGCAGAUUGCCUCCUCUGAGUUUCCCAAACGUGGGAAACUUGACCGCACAAUUUUGUGGUAAUGGGGAACCACAUUUGUGCUUUCCCC